GGAGAGAUGGCCGAGUGGACGAAGGCGCUCGCCUGCUAAGCGAGCGUAGGGUAAAACCUACCGUGGGUUCGAAUCCCACUCUCUCCGCCA
This 90-nucleotide transfer RNA is filed under the name Syntrophobacter sp. DG_60. RNAcentral's name for it is "tRNA-Ser". It matches the Rfam family "tRNA". From Rfam's summary of the family: Transfer RNA (tRNA) molecules are approximately 80 nucleotides in length. Their secondary structure includes four short double-helical elements and three loops (D, anti-codon, and T loops). The record is from RNAcentral. RNAcentral also lists the same sequence under 1 other name. Lineage: Bacteria; Pseudomonadati; Thermodesulfobacteriota; Syntrophobacteria; Syntrophobacterales; Syntrophobacteraceae.